ACCCCGGGAGGGGAGUGAAAGAGAACCUGAAACCCUAUGUUUACAAGCAGAUAGAGCGAUUUAAGGCGCGAUAUCGUACUUUUUGUAGAACGGUCCAGCGAGUUAUUGUAUAUGGCAAGGUUAAGUACUAAGUAAGGUACGGAGCCGAAGUGAAAGCGAGCCUGAACAGGGCGAAUUAAGUCAUAUGUAAUAGACCCGAAACCGGGUGACCUAUCCAUGGUCAGGAUGAAGCUAGAGUAAAAUCUAGUGGAGGUCCGAACUCAUAAGCGUUAAAAAGCUUCGGGAUGAACUGUGGAUAGCGGAGAAAUUCCAAUCGAACUCGGAGAUAGCUGGUUCUCCUCGAAAUAGCUUUAGGGCUAGCCUUGUGUAGUAGUAUAUGGGGGUAGAGCACUGACUGAGGUAGGGGCCUAACCAGGUUACCAAACUCUAUCAAACUCCGAAUACCGUAUAUGUAAGCACAGGAGUCAGACUGCGGGAGCUAAGUUCCGUGGUCAAAAGGGAAAGAGCCCAGAUCGUCAAUUAAGGUCCCAAAGAUAUAGCUAAGUGGCAAACGAUGUGAUUUUGCGUAAACAACCAGGAUGUUGGCUUAGAAGCAGCCAUACAUUUAAAGAGUGCGUAAUAGCUCACUGGUCGAGUGAAGUUGCGCGGAAAAUUACCGGGGCUAAGCUAUACACCGAAAUUGCGGAUUUACACUUGAAAGAUAGUGUAAGUGGUAGAGGAGCAUUCUGUAGUAGGGAGAAGCAAAAGCGAGAGCAUUUGUGGACGAGGCAGAAGAGAGAAUGCUGGAAUAAGUAGCGAGAGCAAGGUGAGAAUCCUUGCCGUCGAAAGUCUAAGGUUUCCUGGGGAAGGUUCGUCCGCCCAGGGUAAGUCGGGACCUAAGGUGAGGCUGAAAAGCGUAGCCGAUGGAUAGCAGGUUGAGAUUCCUGCACUAUAGAUAUACUUAAAAGAUGCAAGGGACGCAGGAGUGGAAGAUAAGCGAGGAAGAGGAAAGACUCGUAUCGCAAGAUAUAGUGAAAAUAAAGUAACGAAUUAUCAAGAAGCACACUGACGAGAAAAGCUUGUAGAUAUUGUAUAUAAAUACCCGUACCGCAAACCGACACAGGUAGAUGAGGAGAGGAUCCUAAGACGAGCGGGAGAAGCAUUGUUAAGGAACUCGGCAAAUUGACCCCGUAACUUAGGGAGAAGGGGUGCCAAGGUAGAACUUGGCCGCAGUGAAGAGGUUCAAGCAACUGUUUAACAAAAACACAGGUUUCUGCUAAAUCGAAAGAUGAAGUAUAGGAGCUGACGCCUGCCCAGUGCUGGAAGGUCAAAGGGAAGUGUUAGUAAAAACUUACGAAGCACAGAACUCAAGCCCCAGUGAACGGCGGCCGUAACUAUAACGGUCCUAAGGUAGCGAAAUUCCUUGUCAGGUAAG
This 1414-nucleotide ribosomal RNA is filed under the name human gut metagenome. RNAcentral's name for it is "bacterial LSU rRNA". It matches the Rfam family "Bacterial large subunit ribosomal RNA", at positions 523 to 1980 of the family's 2925-position model. The record is from RNAcentral.